GACGAACGCUGGCGGCGUGCCUAAUACAUGCAAGUCGAACGCAGUGGGGACGGGUGAGUAACACGUGGGUAACCUCCCAUCAGAGGGGAUAACACUUGGCAACAGGUGCUAAACCGAUACUGAUGGAUGGACCCGCGGUGCUUUAGCUAGUUGGUGGGGUAACGGCUUACCAAGGCCACGAUGCAUAACCGACCGGAGAGGGUGAUCGGCCACACUGGGACUGAGACACGGCCCAGACUCCUACGGGAGGCAGCAGUAGGGAAUAUUCGGCAAUGGACGAAAGCCUGACCGAGCCACGCCGCGUGAGUGAAGAAGGUUUUCGGAUCGUAAAGCUCUGUUGUUAGGGAAGCGUUAUCUAACCAGAAAGCAACGGCUAACUCCGUGCCAGCAGCCGCGGUAAUUC
RNAcentral lists this ribosomal RNA (403 nucleotides) under uncultured bacterium. RNAcentral describes it as "partial 16S ribosomal RNA". It matches the Rfam family "Bacterial small subunit ribosomal RNA", at positions 28 to 526 of the family's 1533-position model. The record is from RNAcentral.